Long non-coding RNA from Xenopus laevis (African clawed frog), 536 nucleotides. RefSeq lists it as uncharacterized. The transcript is spliced from 3 exons. Lineage: Eukaryota; Metazoa; Chordata; Amphibia; Anura; Pipidae. The record is from RefSeq and is a predicted model, not a curated record.
UUCUUCCACAGAUUUUAACCAAUUAUUAUAUAUUGGGGCGGCCUUAGACUUCCAGUUCCUUGGGAUCAAUGCUUUAGCAGCUUGUAUUAAUUGAAAGGUACGAAUCCCACUUGAUCGGCAUGUAUCAAAUCCGGUUUGACCCCAGGGCUAUCAGAUGUCCUCUCAAGAAGCAUUUUAAUGUUUCCCAUAAUGUUAUUGGGUUAGUUUCCGAUGUAUCGUUAUUGUUGAUUAUUUGUAUAAUCCACUCGUGUAUCCUUUCCCUGUUUUCCUCCUCAUGUAAUAAAAAUUCAUUUAAUCUCCAAUUGAACUCAGGUUUGGAGACCCUUGGUAUAGUAUAUUUUACUAUCACUGGUGAAUGGUCUGAGACAUUAAAACUCGCUAUGUAUGCCUGUGUAAAUAAGUGUGUCCAUUGUUGUGAUGCCAUUAUGUAAUCUAUUCGCGAAUAAACUUGGUAUUGUUUUGAAAAGUGAGUGUAAUCUUUCUUCUUAGGGUUCACUAUCCUCCAGAUAUCCACUAGUUGUAAAUCAGCUAAGGCU